AAAUAAAAGUGUUUGCAAAGAAAUCAUUUACAAACAGAGAGGAAUAUCACAAUGUUUUUUGCUUUUGUUUAGGGAACCAUUUGGCCGAGGCAGCACAACAUAAUGUGAACAAUUGGCUUUAUAGGCUAGUAAAACGGUCUGGUUAAAAAUGGAAAGGAGAAAAAGAGAAGUCUUCAUCCUGUAGUUUUUGUGCAGGUAGCAUUUGGGUGAAUUUCUGGAUUCUGCUGAAUGGUGGCUUAGAUGACAUGGAUGCUGCUUGU
Molecule: long non-coding RNA, 260 nt
Filed under: Bos taurus (domestic cattle)
Lineage: Eukaryota; Metazoa; Chordata; Mammalia; Artiodactyla; Bovidae
Description: long non-coding RNA NONBTAT014857
Source: RNAcentral